RNAcentral lists this transfer RNA (76 nucleotides) under Mesorhizobium sp. LHD-90. Its description in RNAcentral is "tRNA-Cys". It matches the Rfam family "tRNA". From Rfam's summary of the family: Transfer RNA (tRNA) molecules are approximately 80 nucleotides in length. Their secondary structure includes four short double-helical elements and three loops (D, anti-codon, and T loops). Further hydrogen bonds mediate the characteristic L-shaped molecular structure. tRNAs have two regions of fundamental functional importance: the anti-codon, which is responsible for specific mRNA codon recognition, and the 3' end, to which the tRNAs corresponding amino acid is attached (by aminoacyl-tRNA synthetases). tRNAs cope with the degeneracy of the genetic code in two manners: having more than one tRNA (with a specific anti-codon) for a particular amino acid; and 'wobble' base-pairing, i.e. permitting non-standard base-pairing at the 3rd anti-codon position. The record is from RNAcentral. Lineage: Bacteria; Pseudomonadati; Pseudomonadota; Alphaproteobacteria; Hyphomicrobiales; Phyllobacteriaceae.
GGCCCGGUGGCGAAAUGGGAACGCUGCGGUCUGCAAAACCGUCAUGGAACCGGUUCGACUCCGGUCCGGGCCUCCA